UACGUAGGUGGUAAGCGUUGUGCGGAUUUAUUGGGUUUACAGGGUGCGUAGGCGGCCUGCUAAGUUAGUGGUGAAAUCACGCCGCUCAACGGUGUGCUCGCCAUUGAUACUGACGGGCUUGAGCGCGGUCGAGGGAGCUGGAAUGCGUAGUGUAGCGGUGACAUGCAUAGAUAUUACGCAGAACGCCGAUUACGAAGGCAGGCUCCUGGGGCGCAACUGACGCUGAGGCACGGAAGUGUGGGGGGCCCAAAGG
This 253-nucleotide ribosomal RNA is filed under the name uncultured bacterium. Its description in RNAcentral is "partial 16S ribosomal RNA". It matches the Rfam family "Bacterial small subunit ribosomal RNA", at positions 524 to 776 of the family's 1533-position model. The record is from RNAcentral.